Molecule: ribosomal RNA, 429 nt
Filed under: Pseudomonadota bacterium
Lineage: Bacteria; Pseudomonadati; Pseudomonadota
Description: Proteobacteria bacterium partial 16S ribosomal RNA
Rfam family: Bacterial small subunit ribosomal RNA
Source: RNAcentral
UGGGGAAUAUUGGACAAUGGGCGAAAGCCUGAUCCAGCUAUGCCGCGUGUGUGAAGAAGGUCUUCGGAUUGUAAAGCACUUUAAGUUGGGAGGAAGGGCAGUAAGCGAAUACCUUGCUGUUUUGACGUUACCGACAGAAUAAGCACCGGCUAACUCUGUGCCAGCAGCCGCGGUAAUACAGAGGGUGCAAGCGUUAAUCGGAAUUACUGGGCGUAAAGCGCGCGUAGGUGGUUCGUUAAGUUGAAUGUGAAAGCCCCGGGCUCAACCUGGGAACUGCAUCCAAACCUGGCGAGCUAGAGUAGGGCAGAGGGUGGUAGAAUUUCCUGUGUAGCGGUGAAAUGCGUAGAUAUAGGAAGGAACACCAGUGGCGAAGGCGACCACCUGGGAUCAUACUGACACUGAGGUGCGAAAGCGUGGGGAGCAAACAGG